RNAcentral lists this ribosomal RNA (1343 nucleotides) under gut metagenome. RNAcentral's name for it is "bacterial LSU rRNA". It matches the Rfam family "Bacterial large subunit ribosomal RNA", at positions 1565 to 2925 of the family's 2925-position model. The record is from RNAcentral.
AAGGGAGCGAAAUUAGAGUAGCGAAGUCCGCGAUGUUCGGAGGCGAGAAAAGCUCUGAGGUAUGCUAAGGUGCCCGUACCGCAAACCGACACAGGUAGAUGAGGAGAGAAUCCUAAGGCCAACGGGAGAAGGGUUGUUAAGGAACUCGGCAAAUUGACCCCGUAACUUCGGAAGAAGGGGAGCCCCCUACGGGGGGUCGCAGAGAAAUGACCCAAGCAACUGUUUACCAAAAACACAGGUCUAUGCUAAAUCGAAAGAUGACGUAUAUGGGCUGACGCCUGCCCGGUGCCGGAAGGUUAAGAGGAGAUGUCAGGCAACGAAGCAUUGAAUUUAAGCCCCGGUAAACGGCGGCCGUAACUAUAACGGUCCUAAGGUAGCGAAAUUCCUUGUCAGGUAAGUUCUGACCCGCACGAAUGGCGUAAUGAUUUGGGCACUGUCUCAACAGCCCGCCCGGCGAAAUUGUAGUACUGGUGAAGAUGCCAGUUACCCGCAACUAGACGGAAAGACCCCAUGGAGCUUUACUGCAGCUUAAUACUGAAAUUCGGUAGUACAUGUACAGGAUAGGUGGGAGACUGAGAAAUACAGGCGUCAGCUUGUAUGGAGUCGCUGUUGGGAUACCACUCUUGUACUGCUGGGUUUCUAACCUGCGGCCGUGAAUCCGGUCGGGGGACACUGUUAGGCGGGCAGUUUGACUGGGGCGGUCGCCUCCCAAAAGGUAACGGAGGCGCUCAAAGGUUCGUUCAGCACGGACGGAAAUCGUGCAAUGAGUGUAAACGCAUAAACGAGCCUAACUGCGACACCGACGGGUGGAGCAGUAACGAAAGUUGGAGUUAGUGAUCCGGUGGUAUGUGAGUGGAAAUGCCAUCGCUCAACGGAUAAAAGCUACCCUGGGGAUAACAGGCUGAUCUCCCCCAAGCGUCCACAGCGACGGGGAGGUUUGGCACCUCGAUGUCGGCUCGUCGCAUCCUGGGGCUGAAUUCGGUCCCAAGGGUUUGGCUGUUCGCCAAUUAAAGCGGCACGCGAGCUGGGUUCAGAACGUCGUGAGACAGUUCGGUCCCUAUCUGUUGCGGGCGUAAGAGAUUUGAAGGGAGCUGUCCUUAGUACGAGAGGACCGGGAUGGACGUACCUCUGGUGCACCAGUUGUCCUGCCAAGGGCAUAGCUGGGUAGCUAUGUACGGACGAGAUAAACGCUGAAAGCAUCUAAGCGUGAAACUCCCCCUAAGAUGAGAUCUCUCAUCCUUUAAGGAGUAAGGACCCAGAAAGACGAUCUGGUUGAUAGGCCGAAGGUGGAAGCGCAGUAAUGUGUGCAGCUGAUCGGUACUAAUAGUCCGAGGGCUUGACCU